UCGUGGAGUGAUCUGUCUGCUUAAUUGCGUUUCACUAAGGACUCAGAUUUUACGUGUGUUUGCGGCUAGCUUUGACCCUUAACUGUGUGUCUCAGUUUUAGCUUGCGCACACUUCCGAGUCCUCAUAGCAACGAACGUGACCGCAACCUCUUGUUGCCUUUAACCCCAACGAAUUUCAGAUUUUAUCUGUGUUUGUUUUAAAGGCUUUUUAAAACUAGAGGGACCGCUGUAAUCUUUUUAAACCAGAGGA
RNAcentral lists this ribosomal RNA (250 nucleotides) under uncultured eukaryote. Its description in RNAcentral is "partial 18S ribosomal RNA". The record is from RNAcentral.